RNAcentral lists this ribosomal RNA (482 nucleotides) under uncultured bacterium. Its description in RNAcentral is "partial 16S ribosomal RNA". It matches the Rfam family "Bacterial small subunit ribosomal RNA", at positions 30 to 507 of the family's 1533-position model. The record is from RNAcentral.
AUUGAACGCUGGCGGCAUGCCUUACACAUGCAAGUCGAACGGUAACAGGUCUUCGGAUGCUGACGAGUGGCGAACGGGUGAGUAAUACAUCGGAACGUGCCCGAUCGUGGGGGAUAACGAAGCGAAAGCUUUGCUAAUACCGCAUAAGAUCUACGGAUGAAAUCAGGGGACCGCAAGGCCUUGCGCGAACGGAGCGGCCGAUGGCAGAUUAGGUAGUUGGUGGGAUAAAAGCUUACCAAGCCGACGAUCUGUAGCUGGUCUGAGAGGACGGCCAGCCACACUGGGACUGAGACACGGCCCAGACUCCUACGGGAGGCAGCAGUGGGGAAUUUUGGACAAUGGGCGAAAGCCUGAUCCAGCCAUGCCGCGUGCAGGAUGAAGGCCUUCGGGUUGUAAACUGCUUUUGUACGGAACGAAAAGACUCUGGUUAAUACCUGGGGUCCAUGACGGUACCGUAAGAAUAAGCACCGGCUAACUACGUG